Molecule: RNA transcript, 1346 nt
Organism: Alexandromys fortis (reed vole)
Lineage: Eukaryota; Metazoa; Chordata; Mammalia; Rodentia; Cricetidae
Gene: Polr2e
Gene name: RNA polymerase II, I and III subunit E
Exons: 4
Source: RefSeq, a predicted model, not a curated record
UGUCCCUUAUCCCACGCAGGCGCAGUUUUCGUAGACCGGCGCAGGCGCAGUGCUGGCACGAGCGUGCAAGCGAAGUUGUUUCGGAAGGGCUGCAACAUGGACGAUGAGGAGGAGACUUACCGGCUGUGGAAGAUCCGCAAGACCAUCAUGCAGCUGUGUCAUGACCGUGGCUACUUGGUGACUCAGGAUGAACUGGACCAGACACUUGAGGAGUUCAAGGCACAGUUUGGGGACAAACCCAGCGAAGGAAGACCAAGGCGCACAGACCUCACCGUGCUGGUGGCCCACAAUGAUGACCCCACAGACCAGAUGUUUGUGUUCUUCCCAGAGGAGCCCAAGGUGGGCAUCAAGACCAUCAAGGUGUACUGCCAGCGCAUGCAGGAGGAGAACAUCACACGCGGGCUGAUCGUGGUACAGCAGGGCAUGACGCCCUCCGCCAAGCAGUCUCUGGUGGACAUGGCACCGAAGUACGUUCUGGAGCAGUUCCUACAGCAAGAGCUGCUCAUCAACAUCACGGAAUACGAGCUGGUCCCUGAGCAUGUGGUCAUGACAAAGGAGGAGGUGACAGAGCUGCUGGCUCGAUACAAGCUUCGCGAAAGCCAGCUGCCCAGGAUCCAGGCUGGGGACCCAGUGGCGCGCUAUUUUGGGAUCAAGCAGGGGCAGGUUGUGAAGAUCAUCCGGCCCAGUGAGACAGCCGGCCGCUACAUCACCUACCGCCUGGUACAGUAGCACACAGCAGGUGAGCCCCGCCUGCCCCGGCCAGCACACUGCUCUGCCAGGGUCCCAGCUCAGACCCCUGUCCCAUUCUGAAAAGCAGGACUGUUGGGUAAGACACUACAGCCCCCAGCCUGCUCUUCCCAGUGCACCCACUUGCGAAAGGAGCAACUGACUCUUGCAGGUUGUCCUCUGACCUCCCGUGAGGGCAGGCUGUAACCCCAUCACCAGGAGGUGGGCCAGCACCCUGGAGACUGCAGGAGGAUUGCUGCAACUUCAAGUGAGUUUAUGACUUCAAGAACUGGUCCGUCGCCGCUCUGGUAGCUUCUGGUAUGAGAAACUCGUCUGAAAACAGGAAAGGAACCCGCGUAGGAGCCAGCAGAUCUGCCCUUCCUCGUCACCAGCACCCUGCCUGCUGCUCUGUGGGGCCAAGGGUACCGGCCACAACCUCUUUGCCUUUUGACUAGAGGGUUCCCACCUGGCCAGUGCCUUGGGAAUGUGGCCCUGGGCAGCCAGCACCACAGUCCUCCCUGUGCAAUGUUGGUGCACUGGCUGUACCCCACACUGCCCUGUAUAGAGUUCUCCAUUCUGUAGGACUCUGUUCUGAGAACUAAAGACAUUUUGAGGAGUUA